UCUCAGGCACUUUUCCUACCUGCAUCCUCUGAUCACUACUCUGUUAAAUAGUCAAGGAGGGUAAGUAUUCUCUUCAGAUUUCCAGAGCUCUGUCUCUGUACAGCCCUCUCCUCCUCAAUGUUCUGCCCUAUGAAUUCUAGCCGCAUUGGUCCCAGACUCACAGUUCUGUCUUCUCAACUCAGGGAGGUCUCUGAGCUCCAUCUGGAUUCUUGCUUCCUGUGCUGUGGCCUGGAAACUUUUAUAGGUGAUGGGGAGGUCAAUUCCUUUGUUUCUCGCCUUUUGAAGAUCACUGCCCUUUGUUGCUUGAUUCCAGUGAUUGAUUCCCUUUGUUGCUUGAGGGGCAUAGCUUCAUAUAUUUUGUCCAGUGUUUUUGUUGUUUUAGGUGAGAAGGUAAUUUUGGUCUCUGUUACUGAAUCUUGGCCAGAAGUGUAAGUCACUUACCUAAGCAUUUAUACAUCAAAAUACUGCACAAAUAAUUUUAGUUUAAACUACUUUUUAAAAAUCUCCUUCAUCUUCCAUUUAGAAUUCUAUUUAGGGUAUUACGUUGAUUUUUUAGAAAUUCUGUUAUUGACAGUUUCAAUUGCCUUUUAAUUCCAUUUAAAGGUAGUGCAUAGGGUAUUCUAAAACAGCUGUUAAACAAAGAGAAAAUUGGGCCUGAUAGGGUGAAAAUCACAGCUCUAAUACCUAGAGUGACCCUAUAAUGUAUUGUCCAAAGGAGAUAUUUUUGACAGUGAAAGAGGAUGUUGCUAGUAAUUAUAUCAGGACCAUGGACUAAACCAGUACUAGCCUAGGCUGCCGGGGACGUAUUUGUAUCCCAUCUCUAUUUUAUGCCUUAUACAAUUCUUUACUUACACCUACCAGCCUUUAAUGAGCCUGCUUUUUUUUGUCCAGCUGAGUGCCACAUGCUGACAUCACUAAGAUCAAUAAGGCAAACUCUGAAAGAUGGGAAGAGACAGGAGACAGUCCUUUAUAAUGCAGUGUGAUCUGUGCUCCAACAGAGUUUUGGAGGCUAGAAGUUCAAAACCAGGUGUUGGCAGCACCACGCUCUCCCUGAAGAUGCCUUUCCAGUAGCUUCUGGGGUUGCCUGCAAGCCCUGACAUUCCUUGGCUUAUAGAUGCACCACCCCAGUUUCCACCCCCACCAUCACAUGGCCUUCUCCCUGGGUGCCUGUCUGUGCUCCUUCUCCUCUUCUUCAAAGGACAACAGUCAUAGUAGAUUAAGGGCCCACUCCUAACUAAUUACAUCUGCAACAGCCUGAUUUCCAAAGAAAGUCACCUUCUAAGAA
Cebus imitator (Panamanian white-faced capuchin) is the source of this 1285-nucleotide long non-coding RNA. RefSeq lists it as uncharacterized. The transcript is spliced from 2 exons. The record is from RefSeq and is a predicted model, not a curated record. NCBI's taxonomy places the organism in Eukaryota, Metazoa, Chordata, Mammalia, Primates, Cebidae.